GACAGAGGUCUCGAGCGUUAGGCGGAAUCACUGGGCUUAAAGCGUGUGUAGGCGGAUUUUUAAGUACCUUGUGAAAUCCCACGGCUUAACCGUGGAACUGCUGGGUAUACUGGAAAUCUUGAGCCACCUAGGGGCGAGCGGAACAAACGGUGGAGCGGUGAAAUGCGUAGAUAUCGUUUGGAACGCCAAUGGUGAAAACAGCUCGCUAGGGGUGUGCUGACGCUGAGACACGAAAGCCAGGGGAGCAAACGGG
Molecule: ribosomal RNA, 253 nt
Filed under: uncultured bacterium
Lineage: Bacteria
Description: partial 16S ribosomal RNA
Rfam family: Bacterial small subunit ribosomal RNA
Source: RNAcentral